AGCAUAUAUUUCUGAACUGUGGUUGCUUAUGCUUUUGUUGUUCAGGUUUGCAGGCUUUCCCUGCACCCUUUAUUUGUGUUUUGGAUUUGGAAUGAGUGUAAAAGUUUCUGUUUGUUUGAGGGUGGCUCAGGAUCCCACUAACUGCAUGAGCAUGCAACUGUAGAAAGGGUUCCGCAUGAAGGCAGAGUGGAAAACCCUAACAAAGAACUGGAUAGGAGCUGCUCUGCUGAGAAACCUGGCGAGGUGUUGCAAGACUGAGCGCAAGGAGUGCAGAACACAGUAGUUUGCUACAACUCUCCUCAAUGAUAGAGGCUUCAGUUAUGAAUGCUGUACCACGGAGGAAGCUGAGAGCACCUGUGCUUAAGACGGCUUUUCCCAGCUGAGCCCCUUUGGAUGUUUGUCUUUGACAACCUUUGCUGCCCCUAAUGCUGCUUUUGUAAAGAAAAGGUUUUGUUGAUACAGCAUAUUUUUGUUACUUACUGUUGGUCAUAAUGCACUCUCAAAGCUGUGUUUAACAUAAGCGGUUUUGAUACAAGAUGUGUGUGCUGUUGUGUGAAAUCUUAGCCCUGGAUGAAUCCAGAAGCGUUUUGCCACUGAUUUCUCUAGAGCUGGGAUUCCUCCCUCUCUUUCUGCCUUUCCCUGCUCUGUUUUAUGCUGCCCUAACCCAUUGGUUGCCUUCAUUGGGGCCACUGGAUGCAAUGUGGGGAAGCGGUGCUGCAUCUUAAUCUAAAUUUGCCUGGAGAUCUUCCUGUUAUUCUGUGUUAUAACCAUUUAAUUACUCUCUCUCUCUCUCUCUCAGAAGUUUAUUGCCUUUGUAAAUUCACAGUUUGGUUGGGAUGAUGCUUAGCAUGCAAAACAGCAUGCAAGAUAAAGCAGUGGUGCGAUUUUACGCUGUUGUUUCACUGCUGUUGUUCCUCACAGGAGGGGGAAAGCUUUCAUUCAUCCAUGAAGGGUGGCUGAACAUGAUGCAUGUGUUGGCACCCUGACUGCAGUGAUGCCUGCAUGUCACUGAACUUUAUGGCCCCUCGUUUAAACCUCACAGCUUCUCCUUCAGCACUCAAGCUGUGUAAUACGAAAGUAGCCUCUGUAUCACUGCAGCACCUCUGAGUGCAUCUGCAGCUCUGUCCUGAGGAGCAUUGGUGCCUUGUGAUGUUCUGCCCUGUGUUAGCAGGUGUCUGAGAUGCAGAUAUAGUGGGGCAUUGCAGCUACCUGUGAGCUGAUGUGAAUUAUGCGUGGUGUUUAUAGGGAUUGUUAGAAGGGAUUUGCAGAGUUUGGGGUUUUUUUUAAUAGUGUGUGUGUAAAUAUAUGUAUGCAUUCAUGUAAGAAAGCUGUGGCCCAGCUUUGCAGCUCUAAAGGGGGAAUAUUAAUAUAUUAAUCCUUAAGCACUUAAGUAGAACUAUCUGUAUAAGAAUAAGGAAAAAGAGAGGGAAGUGGAUGGGAGGGAGCUCUGCCCUGAGCCAUCCGUGUCAUUCCUGCCACUUUAUGAGACAGGUGGUGGCUUGAAGUAGAAAAGUGCUUGUUUGUGUAGAGGAACAAAGCAUGCUUUUUGAUUUAAACUUGCAGAUCUUUUCGUUUUGCUUUAAUGAGAAAUCUCCUGAAGCUGUUGAAGAAGUCUUUUUUUUUUCUGCUGUGCAAAUACAAGUAAUG
This is a long non-coding RNA of Gallus gallus (chicken), 1647 nucleotides long. The record is from Ensembl. NCBI's taxonomy places the organism in Eukaryota, Metazoa, Chordata, Aves, Galliformes, Phasianidae.